RNAcentral lists this transfer RNA (68 nucleotides) under Calliptamus barbarus. RNAcentral's name for it is "tRNA-Lys". It matches the Rfam family "tRNA". From Rfam's summary of the family: Transfer RNA (tRNA) molecules are approximately 80 nucleotides in length. Their secondary structure includes four short double-helical elements and three loops (D, anti-codon, and T loops). The record is from RNAcentral. Lineage: Eukaryota; Metazoa; Arthropoda; Insecta; Orthoptera; Acrididae.
CAUCAGAUGGCUGAAAGUAAGUAAUGGUCUCUUAAACCAAAGAAUAGUAAAUUAACUACUUCUGAUGG